RNAcentral lists this unclassified non-coding RNA (281 nucleotides) under Myrmecridium sp. RNAcentral describes it as "partial contains 5.8S ribosomal RNA, internal transcribed spacer 2, and large subunit ribosomal RNA". The stretch from base 1 to 71 matches the Rfam family "5.8S ribosomal RNA", at positions 84 to 154 of the family's 154-position model. The record is from RNAcentral. Lineage: Eukaryota; Fungi; Ascomycota; Sordariomycetes; Myrmecridiales; Myrmecridiaceae.
GUGAGUCAUCGAAUCUUUGAACGCACAUUGCGCCCGCCAGCACUCUGGCGGGCAUGCCUGUUCGAGCGUCAUUUCAACCCCUCAAGCCCAGCUUGGUGUUGGGGCACUGCGUCCCGCAGGCCCCCAAAUCCAGUGGCGGACGCGCCAGGUCCCCGAGCGCAGUAGUUUCUCCUCGCUCUGGGCGGCCGGCGCGGGCUUGCCUCGCCCCCCGUAUCGCACAAGGUUGACCUCGGAUCAGGUAGGAAUACCCGCUGAACUUAAGCAUAUCAAUAAGCGGAGGA